AGUUAGCAUCAGUUGUGUCUUCAACAUCCUAUCCUUCAAUACAUCUCAAAAGUAUCCUUAAUAAAUAUGGCUUUCCGAAUUGUUGCUGUGCUCUGUGUCCUGGCCGUCUUUGCCCAGGCGUCGCAACUUUCUUCUGCUGGACAAGGAGCAACCGUGGGAUCUCGUACCUUAGGCGUCGUUCCAUCAGGGCCUGGUCCUGUCUCUGCCGGUUCUCCAGGACGCUAUCGCCCUGUCAUUGGAUCGGCUGUAGCUCAGCCUAAGCGUCCUGUGGCAGCCCCGGGAUCAGUUGUCUCCGCUCCUGCUGGCGCCACUCGUCGUGUGUCUGGAUCUCGCCAUCAAAGCGCUCUUCCUGUGGCUGCUUCUCGCCCACAGGCUACUGGAUCUUACCCACGGGCUGCUGCUGCUCCAGCCAUCGGUUCUCGCCCUCGCCAGACUGUGGGCCCAGUUUCACCCAUUCGUCAGCCUCAGGUUGCAUAUGGAAAUCAGAAACCAAAACCCUACUAACCCGACUGCCGGCAACCCAUUGAAACAAACUAUCAAGCGAACUAUGUCUAAGCUUCUUAAAUAUUAAUUGCAAAUAAAAUAAAAUCGUAUUUACAUGAGAUCCACUUUAUCAGAA
This 619-nucleotide long non-coding RNA is filed under the name Drosophila guanche. Lineage: Eukaryota; Metazoa; Arthropoda; Insecta; Diptera; Drosophilidae. The record is from RNAcentral.